This 265-nucleotide long non-coding RNA is filed under the name Nicotiana benthamiana. Its description in RNAcentral is "long non-coding RNA (NBEN_LNC041250)". The record is from RNAcentral. Lineage: Eukaryota; Viridiplantae; Streptophyta; Magnoliopsida; Solanales; Solanaceae.
UUCUAUUUGUGCUAUGUUAUCUCUUCUACUAGUUUUCUACAGCAUGAUUUACGUGCCUAUCUUAUGUGUGUUCCUUUAGUAUCUUUUUUCUUACUGAGUUUGUUUGAGUUGUAAACCUAUUCCAUCUACUGUAGCUUAAGUUCUAUAUCACCUCUUUUCUCUCCUGAACUUGCUUGAGUUUUGAGCUUUUAUUAAACUUGUUCUUUUUUAUUUUUUCACCCUGUUGAUUCAAACUUGCUAUUGUAUCUGUGUGCUUCUUCAUGAG